Molecule: ribosomal RNA, 427 nt
Filed under: uncultured bacterium
Lineage: Bacteria
Description: bacterial SSU rRNA
Rfam family: Bacterial small subunit ribosomal RNA
Source: RNAcentral
UGGGGAAUAUUGGACAAUGGGCGCAAGCCUGAUCCAGCCAUACCGCGUGGGUGAAGAAGGCCUUCGGGUUGUAAAGCCCUUUUGUUGGGAAAGAAAUCCUAUCGGUUAAUAACCGUUGGGGAUGACGGUACCCAAAGAAUAAGCACCGGCUAACUUCGUGCCAGCAGCCGCGGUAAUACGAAGGGUUCAAGCGUUACUCGGAAUUACUGGGCGUAAAGCGUGCGUAGGUGGUGGUUUAAGUCUGCUGUGAAAGACCUGGGCUCAACCUGGGAAUUGCAGUCGAUACAGGAUCACUAGAGUGUGGUGGAGAGAUGCGGAAUAUCUGGUGUAGCGGUGAAAUGCGUGGAGAUCAGGAGGAACAUCCGUGGCGAGAGCGGCAACCUGGGCCAACACUGACACUGUGGCACGAAAGCGUGGGGGGCAAAAA